CUGUGAGUUUGCUAGUCAACCAAAGGUUAUGCUUUAGAGACUACUUGAUAUGUGUUCAAGAAUAUUUCGAGCAAAUUGAUCACCAAAACUCCAUAUGAGAUAUGAAUUUGGAUAAUUCGAUACUCACCUUAGAAUUUGGGGUGUCGAACUUAUGUGAAAUAUUCACAAAUCGACUAGCUUGGAUCUUGAUCUAAUAAAUAUUAUUUUAGAGAUAUUUCUUCUGCCUUUCUGAUGGACAUGAGA
This 243-nucleotide long non-coding RNA is filed under the name Elaeis guineensis (African oil palm). Its description in RNAcentral is "long non-coding RNA (EGUI_LNC044994)". The record is from RNAcentral. Lineage: Eukaryota; Viridiplantae; Streptophyta; Magnoliopsida; Arecales; Arecaceae.